ACCAUCAACCUCCCCAUUAUAUCAACCCCUCCUCCCCUCUCGGUUCUCGCACCUCCACCGCUCCCUUCCAGAUCUCUCCCCUCUCCUCCCACCGCCAUUGCCGACCUCCUCUCUUAGAUCAGUACAUCUCCAUCUCGGUUGUCUGUUCUUCUCGGGUGUCCUUCUCCGCCGUCCGAUCUACUUCAAGAUAAGGGAAGGAGGCCACUACAUCGAGGGCGCCGAGCUCAUCAAUCCUGUUCUCGAUAUGGUCCGGAAGGAGGACGAGAACUGCGAUUGCUUGCAAGAUACUCAAGUAGAGGUUUGAGCUACUUGAUAGCGUGGAAGAAAUUUUACACCAAUGCAAGACAGACAGUGGAUCACCAUGCUUGUUUUCCAGUUGUGUAUGCGAUUUGACUGCAUAAUAAUAAGUCCCAGCUGAAUAUUUCUUUUCUAAUUUAUGUGUCUUAUUCUUGUAUUUAUGGGACAUUUAUAUUCUAGAAAAUGUCAAGGUGUUGUGCAUCAGUUUCUCUCAAUUUCUUUUAGCAAGCUAUUGUUCUUCUAGGGUUGUAAAUAAGCACUGUCAUGAAGAUACCUCAAUGGGCAGCUCUUCCAUUUCCGAGGUUGGCUUUGGUUUGAUUUGCUUAUUUUUCUUUUCUGUGACAAUUCAUGUGAAUAUAGUGAGAAUGUCUCUGCAGUUGCAAA
Phoenix dactylifera (date palm) is the source of this 681-nucleotide long non-coding RNA. RefSeq lists it as uncharacterized. The record is from RefSeq and is a predicted model, not a curated record. Lineage: Eukaryota; Viridiplantae; Streptophyta; Magnoliopsida; Arecales; Arecaceae.